Non-coding RNA from Camellia sinensis, 436 nucleotides. Lineage: Eukaryota; Viridiplantae; Streptophyta; Magnoliopsida; Ericales; Theaceae. The record is from RefSeq and is a predicted model, not a curated record.
AAACAAACAUUUGGUGAAGCAAAGAAAAAGAGUUAAAAGAAUAAGAGAGCAAGAGAACCGACAGAAAAAAGAGGGGAAGAAGAGGGCUCCGUGAGACAUCAAAAUUCAAGUCAAAAUUGUGGAAAAAUCAUCUUAAGUUUAUUGUAUAUAUGUUGGUGGUCAAGCACCGGAGCAAAGUUAGUGGCGUCAGCCUAAUUUCGUUUUGUCAAGCCAACCUAUUGUGCCUCACCACGAGGUUCGAAACCGCUAUUGUCAAGGCUUUGUUUUGGGUGGUCUAAACCCACAUCUUUUGAAUGAAUGCCAUAUGGAGUCAAGUGAAUGUUUUAUAAGUUGUUUUGGCUUUGGGAUUUAAUUCCCCAACAUGUUUUUUAUUUUGUACUGAGACGUGUUUUGGACUUCAGUUUUAACAUAUAUAUUAAAUAUGGACUUACACUUA